UCGGAUUGCAGCCUGCAACUCGGCUGCAUGAAGCUGGAAUCGCUAGUAAUCGCGGAUCAGAAUGCCGCGGUGAAUACGUCCCCGGGUCUUGUACACACCGCCCGUCACACCAUGGGAGUCGGGAAUGCCCGAAGUCAGUGACCCAACCGAAAGGGGGGAGCUGCCGAAGGCAGGCCUGGUAACUGGGGUGAAGUCGUAACAAGGUACC
RNAcentral lists this ribosomal RNA (208 nucleotides) under uncultured bacterium. RNAcentral describes it as "partial 16S ribosomal RNA". It matches the Rfam family "Bacterial small subunit ribosomal RNA", at positions 1293 to 1500 of the family's 1533-position model. The record is from RNAcentral.